GAUGAACGCUGGCGGCGUGCCUAAUACAUGCAAGUCGAGCGAACGGACGAGAAGCUUGCUUCUCUGAUGUUAGCGGCGGACGGGUGAGUAACACGUGGAUAACCUACCUAUAAGACUGGGAUAACUUCGGGAAACCGGAGCUAAUACCGGAUAAUAUUUUGAACCGCAUGGUUCAAAAGUGAAAGACGGUCUUGCUGUCACUUAUAGAUGUAUCCGCGCUGCAUUAGCUAGUUGGUAAGGUAACGGCUUACCAAGGCAACGAUGCAUAGCCGACCUGAGAGGGUGAUCGGCCACACUGGAACUGAGACACGGUCCAGACUCCUACGGGAGGCAGCAGUAGGGAAUCUUCCGCAAUGGGCGAAAGCCUGACGGAGCAACGACGCGUGAGUGAUGAAGGUCUUCGGAUCGUAAAACCCUGUUAUUAGGGAAGAACAUAUGUGUAAGUAACUGUGCACAUCUUGACGGUACCUAAUCAGAAAGCCACGGCUAACUACGUG
Molecule: ribosomal RNA, 497 nt
Filed under: uncultured bacterium
Lineage: Bacteria
Description: partial 16S ribosomal RNA
Rfam family: Bacterial small subunit ribosomal RNA
Source: RNAcentral